GUGAGUUAGAGAGCUGGCUUCGGAACUCUGCCAUUAAAUUGGCUGAAUCUACUUAUGAGAUUUGAGUUCUGAGGAAGGUCCGGACAUCCUUUUCUCUUUGAGAAAAGAUAAAGCGAUCAGUGAAAGCUGAUGGUUGUAAAGCCAAGCUCCGCAACAGAAACGACACAGCCUUGAGUGCGCAAUGAUCAUUGAAGGGAGCAUGCCUUAAGGAUUUGAUGAAACGAGCGACUUCGCUGAUGCAAGUGCCAAAGCCGCACGCAAAGACAGAUGCCAUCACAAACUGUUUGUCUUGAAAAAGAAACAAAGUCUGACAGAAUCUGGCCUACUCUAACUCAC
RNAcentral lists this RNase P RNA (336 nucleotides) under Candidatus Pacearchaeota archaeon. Its description in RNAcentral is "RNase P RNA component". It matches the Rfam family "Archaeal RNase P". Rfam says of the family: Ribonuclease P (RNase P) is a ubiquitous endoribonuclease, found in archaea, bacteria and eukarya as well as chloroplasts and mitochondria. Its best characterised activity is the generation of mature 5'-ends of tRNAs by cleaving the 5'-leader elements of precursor-tRNAs. Cellular RNase Ps are ribonucleoproteins. The record is from RNAcentral. Lineage: Archaea; Nanobdellati.